Long non-coding RNA from Neofelis nebulosa (Clouded leopard), 1086 nucleotides. RefSeq lists it as uncharacterized. NCBI's taxonomy places the organism in Eukaryota, Metazoa, Chordata, Mammalia, Carnivora, Felidae. The record is from RefSeq and is a predicted model, not a curated record. The transcript has 5 exons.
GUGUGGACCUUCUCUCGGUACAAAGCAGCCACUUCCCAAGAUGCUUUCUGCUGUUUUCAUUUUCGGUUUUUUGCUUUUUUUUUAAAGCAGGGAUGCUUCUCGUGCAUUGGUUCAUGCAAUUCUACCCUCUUCUGAAACCCUGUGUGACCUGAUCAUAGACUCAAGGCUCUUGGACCCAGAGCUGCCCUUAUCUGGAGAACUAGGAAGUAUGUGAUCCCUUGUCGAGACACAGCGCUCUCCUCUUUAUGCUUUAUUCUAUUGCCAGGGUCAAGUCUUGCCUGACCACACUGGGGAGGAUGUCUAAAUUUGCGCAAUGACUCUGCGUCUGGAGCCAGGGUCCCUCCCUGCUCCGGCCCCGAAAGAUCCCUCAGGAAACGGAGGAAGUAUGGACACACAGCCCAGGCAUUUGGGGGUACAGGCAAAGGAAUGCUCCAGCACGGAAGCAACCAGCUUGGGGAGCGUCUCCUGUUAGCUGGGCUUGUGGCAAAGACUCUACCCCAAAUCCUGCUGCUUCUGAACAUAUCCGCAAAAGGGAAGAGGCCAGUUUCACCGUUAUCUUUUCACCGAGAGGAAGAUGGGGCAUGAGCAGUCAUGUGCCACCGGCUAUGUGAAGGGGACUCCUGUCUAAUUGUUGCGACUCCAGCGAUGCAAGGGUCGCCUGGCCGCCCGCUGGGCGUGGAACUGGACGGCAGGCUGGCUGUUCAGGAAGGACGCGGCCUAUUGUCUACGGAGGCCUUUUAGAUAUUACCAUAGGAGCCCCAUCUGGAGUAUACAGUUGACGAGUCUAUCCACAAAUUACCCGAAAGAUGGUAAGACUUGUCAAAGAAGUUAACUGAAUGGCUGGUUGAGAGGAAUCAGAUAGAGGUCGCCCAUGAACCGGGCCCUAGAGGGGCAUCGCGGCAGCAGCCGCAAAAGAAACCCACGGUGUGGGGGCCUCAUCGGCCACUGGAAGAAAAUCCCCUUAAGAAUGGAGUGUGUGCGGCUCCAUUGCUACCAUCCGCUAAAUGCCCAUCGGCGGCGGCACUGUGGGGCGGGGACCCAUGCAAACACCACACAAAGCAGGCGCUGCUGGCCUCUUACCUGGGG